Molecule: ribosomal RNA, 468 nt
Filed under: uncultured bacterium
Lineage: Bacteria
Description: partial 16S ribosomal RNA
Rfam family: Bacterial small subunit ribosomal RNA
Source: RNAcentral
GACGAACGCUGGCGGCGUGCUUAACACAUGCAAGUCGAACGGACAGGCCCUGCUUUUGUGGGGUUCUCGAUUGGCGAACGGGUGAGUAACACGUGUGUAACCUGCCCUUGACUUUCGGAUAACUUCUGGAAACUGGGGCUCAUACCGGAUAGGAGCUCCUGCUGCAUGUUGGUGGUUGGAAAGUUUCGGCGGUUGUGGAUGGACUCGCGGCUUCUCAGCUUGUUGGUCGGGUAGUGGCUUACCAAGGCUUUGACGGGUAGCCGGCCUGAGAGGGUGACCGGGGACAAUGGGACUGAGAGAGGGCGCAGAAGCCUACGGGAGGCAGCAGGGGGGAAUAUGGCAGAAUGGGCGGAAGCGUGAGGCAGCAACGCCGGGAGCGGGAUGACGGCCUACGGGGGGAAAACAGAUGUCGAAGGAGACGAAGAGUGAGUGACGGUAAUGGGUAAAGAAGCACCGGCUAACUACGUG